RNAcentral lists this ribosomal RNA (40 nucleotides) under Gracilaria babae. Its description in RNAcentral is "partial 28S ribosomal RNA". The record is from RNAcentral. Lineage: Eukaryota; Rhodophyta; Florideophyceae; Gracilariales; Gracilariaceae.
UGGAUCUCAAAUCAGACAAGGCGACCCGCUGAACUUAAGC